Molecule: ribosomal RNA, 404 nt
Filed under: uncultured prokaryote
Also listed under: 1 other name
Description: bacterial SSU rRNA
Rfam family: Bacterial small subunit ribosomal RNA
Source: RNAcentral
UGGGGAAUAUUAGGCAAUGGGGGAAACCCUGACCUAGCAACGCCGCGUGAAGGACGAAGGUCUUCGGAUUGUAAACUUCUUUGGCAGGGGACGAUAAUGACGGUACCCUGAGAACAAGCCACGGCUAACUACGUGCCAGCAGCCGCGGUAAUACGUAGGUGGCAAGCGUUAUCCGGAAUUACUGGGUGUAAAGGGCGAGUAGGCGGGUGCACAAGUCAGAUGUGAAAUACCAGGGCUCAACUCUGGGGCUGCAUUUGAAACUGUGCGUCUUGAGUGAUGGAGAGGCAGGCGGAAUUCCCGGUGUAGCGGUAAAAUGCAUAGAGAUCGGGAGGAACACCAGUGGCGAAGGCGGCCUGCUGGACAUUAACUGACGCUGAGGCGCGAAAGUGUGGGGAGCAAACAGG